This 506-nucleotide ribosomal RNA is filed under the name Donacia cazieri. RNAcentral's name for it is "partial 16S ribosomal RNA". The stretch from base 380 to 506 matches the Rfam family "Bacterial large subunit ribosomal RNA", at positions 2473 to 2600 of the family's 2925-position model. Lineage: Eukaryota; Metazoa; Arthropoda; Insecta; Coleoptera; Chrysomelidae. The record is from RNAcentral.
GUCUUAUUGAUAAUUAAUUUUAAGUCUUGCCUGCCCCCUGUUUAAAUAAAUGGCCGCAGUAUUUUGACUGUGCUAAGGUAGCAUAAUCAUUAGUUUUUUAAUUAAAAGCUAGAAUGAAUGGUAGUAUGAAAAAAUAACUGUCUCUUUUAUAUAAUUAAAAUUUUAUUUUUAAGUAAAAAAGCUUAAAUAAAGUUGAAAGACGAGAAGACCCUAUAGAAUUUGAUUUAAGUUAAUUUUUGAUUUAUUAGUAAUUAAGAUUUUUUAAAUUAGUUUAUAUUUAAUUGGGGUGAUUAGAAAAUUUAGUAAUCUUUUCUUUAUAUUACCAUUAAUAUAUGAUUAUAUGAUUCAUUUUAAUGAUUAAAGAAUAAAUUACCUUAGGGAUAACAGCGUAAUCUUUUUUUUAAGUUCAAAUUAAAAAUAAGGAUUGCGACCUCGAUGUUGGAUUAAAUUUAUUUUUUGGUGUAGGAGCUAAAAUAUUAAGUCUGUUCGACUUUUAAAAUUUUACA